This is an RNA transcript of Anolis carolinensis (green anole), 7979 nucleotides long. It is a transcript of the gene named Src homology 2 domain containing transforming protein D, with no coding region annotated. The record is from RefSeq and is a predicted model, not a curated record. Lineage: Eukaryota; Metazoa; Chordata; Lepidosauria; Squamata; Anolidae. The transcript is spliced from 3 exons.
AUAGUUACUUAGUGAUAUAUAUUGCUAUGGUUAAGUGCUGUGAAUUGUAUUAUAUAUUGAAUUUGCUUUUAUUGUAAAUUUACUUGCAGGUAUAUUGCAUUUGCCUUUGUUGUAAAUUUACUUGCUAUUAAGAAUACAUAAUGUCUAUGCAAUUUCAAGAUGAUGCAGAUGGUAUACCUCCUUCUGAGGCUGAAAGUAGGAAUGAAAGGCCCCAAAGGAUAAAGCACCCUUCAGCCAAGAUGCUAGCCCAUCUAAUAGAUGAAAAGGAGCUCCUCCAUGUGAGGUUAGGUUCGGCAUGGGAGCGAAUUGUAACAUUAAUGGACAGAAUUGAGAGCUUGGGUAUUACAAGGGUGCCAUCCAUAUUACAGACAGACCUUGAAGAGACCUUCGGUAUUUGGAGGGGUUUGGUGUCUAAGAUAGUCCAGGUCCUCGAGCGCAUUAACGCCAAGGAUUCAGAGUUAGAAAUAGUGAGUGUCUUAGCUGACACUAAUGAGAAAGAAAAUAAGGUGAGGGCAAUUCUAGAUGCCUUGGAAUUUAGUUCUCCAUCUGUUAAUCUAAGGUCUGAGCCAAAAGGAAAUCAGUCUUCCUUAUGCAGCCAUGAGACCAAUCUUUUAAAAUCACCUGCUGUGGCACUUAGUCUUAAGUCCAACCGCUCUAGCCAGGUAUCUAAGCUAAGGGAGUGUGCAUCAUCUAAACAUAGCCACUCUAGCAAGUCUUCUGCUGCUGGGAGUGCCAUCUCUUCCCUAGCUGCCUUGCACAUUAAGGAGGCUGCACGUCUGGAGCUACAGAGCAAGGUUGCGGAGGCGGAAGCUGAUGCAAAAGCAGCUGACCACACUUUCCACCUUAAAGAGGAGGAACAGCGACUCCAAAUAGAACAGGCCCAAAGGCAAUGUGAAAUAGAAAUGCUUAGAAUAAGGAUGGAUGCUACUGCCAAAAAGGUAAAGGCUGAGACUUUGGCCAAGGUCCUAAGUGGGCAGCUCACAGAAGAAAAUGUAAGUCAGUUGCCGAAGCAGGACCCUUCUUCCAAGGUGCUUGUGCAUCUUAAUAGCUUAAACAGCCAGCUUUUUGACGAGGAACAUGAAGACUUCUCCGUUCGGUCAGAACAGGGCCCUAAAGUUGCCUUCGGGCUGCCGGAAGUUCAAAGCGUCAUAGCGGGGAGCUCCUCUUUGCUCAGUUUGCCUGUGCCUCCUACUAAGAUUCCCGAGCAGUCAGCCAAACCAUCAAAGCCUAUCACCAAUUGGGCCCUACAAGCAAGUCCAAAAGGAACCAUCUGUCCGUCUACAGACGAUGCCUUCCCUCCAAAGGGUCAAAGGUCGACACCAGGAGCACGGGAUUUCUCCCUGCAGCAGCCAACGCCACAUAAGACACCGUCAACACCAGAAUCCCAACUCGUCUCGAUCCUUAGAAGUCCCAAAAGAGACCUCAAGGACAAGGGAGUCGAAAAGUUUUCAGACAAGCCUGAAGAGUUCCUUCUCUGGAAGGUUACCUUCAAGAGGGCAAUUAGAGACUUAAAGUUGUUGCCUGAAGAAGAGCUGACCCUGCUAGGCGCCUGGUUGGGUCCAGCAUCAUCUUCUCAAGUUAAGAGAAUAUAUUCAGCCCAUGUAGCUGAUCCCGACAAAGCCUUGGAAAAGGCCUGGGACAGAUUACAUCAGCGGUAUGGAGCUAGCACGGAGAUUGAAGCAUCUCUAAUGGACAAGCUGCAAAGGUUCCCAACCUUAAAGCUCAAGGACUGCAAGCUCUUGUGGGACCUCAGUGAUCUUCUUGCAGAGUUAGAGUCGGCCAAGGAGAAUCCAGAGUUGCCUGGACUGCAGUGCCUCGAUCAGCAUCUGUCCCAGCGGCAGAUUCUGGACAAACUUCCCUUUGCCCUGCAGGAAGACUGGGGGAAACAGGUUUUUAACUACAAGGAGGCCCAUUCUCAGGCGUACCCACCGUUUUCCCAUCUGGUCCAGUUCAUCACCAGAGCGGCCAGGGAAAGGAAUGAUCCACAGACGGGCCUGCCCACCUUAUAUCAAGGGAUCCAUACAGGGAAGGCGCCUGAAGUGGACAAGAAACCACCUAGAGAGGCCAAUAGACCUGUCAGCGUAAAGGCAGUCGAAACUCAACACAAGACUGACAAAACCAGGUCAGAAGUAAAGGAGGUGCUCUGCCCCAUUCACCAAAAGCCUCACAGUUUGGCCAACUGCCGGGAAUUUGGCAAGAAGCCUUAUAAAGAAAGACAACAGAUUGUACAGAAGCUGGGCAUAUGUUUUAGGUGCUGUGGAGCAACUCCUCACUUUGCUUCCAACUGCAAAGAGGACGUCAAAUGCGCAAGGUGUAACAGCCUUAAGCAUUGCACCGCGAUGCACAACUCUGACGCUGUCUCCCGCGCCAAAGGGGACACGUCUUCCAAAGAAGGGUCAUCUACUGAAGCCACCAACAUGCAGACCGCGUCACGGAUGCAGGAGGAUGCUCCAUCGGUCGCCUGUACUGAACUAUGCUCUGACGUGCACCAGUUCAGAGUCUGCCAUCCCAUCUGCCUAGCAGAUGUAUAUCCAGCCAGAAGACCUUGGCUUAAAAAGAGACUUUACGUGGCUUUGGAUUCACAAAGCGACGCCUCCCUGGCGACUCCAGAGUUUUUCCAACUGUUUGACAUAAAAACCCAGACGGCCGACUACACCAUGUCCACCUGUGUAGGGAAGAAGAAGUUGCAGGGUCGCAUAGCAUCCGGCUUUGUUGUCUCCUCUUGUGACCAGAAGAGACUGUUCGAGUUACCAGACCUCAUUGAGUGUUCCUCUAUUCCCCGGAACAAAAGGCAGAUUGUCACCAGAGAAGUCGUGGAAGCCCAUCCUCACUUGCGAAGGCUGAAGAACGCCUUACCUGCUUUCCGUCCAGAUGUGGACAUUGCCCUUCUGCUUGGUGCGGACUGUCCGAACUUGUUCUAUGUGAACGACCAAGUUAAGGGACCUCCAGGGGCGCCCAUUGCUCAGCUGCUACCACUAGGCUGGACAGUUACAGGCCCAGUGUGCAUAAAUAGGAUGCACCCUCCAUCGUCGGUGGGCACUCGUCAAGCGCACGUGCUUCAAGGCAGUCGCCCCACACUAAUGCAUAGCUGUUUGAGUCAUAUCUCGGUCUAUUGUCAGGGGAUAACACCAGAGUAUUCUUCCAUCUUUGAAGUCUCCGAAAGGGAUGAAACUACAGCGCUUUCCAAAGAUGAACAGAGGUUUUUAGAGAUCAUGAACUCUCAAGUUUCCCGGAGUCCCGAGGGAAAUUGGAUAGCCCCUCUGCCUUUUAAAGCAGAAAAACCCACUUUGCCAAACAACAGGCAUGUGGCAGAAAAUAGACUCUGGUCACUGAAGAAGAAGAUGCAGAAAGACCCCAAGGUAAAGGAGCAAAUCGUUGGCUUUAUGGAAGACAUGUUCCAAAGUAACUACGCCGAGGUCUCUGAUCAAAGUGAGGUCAAUGAAGAAAAUUGGUUCCUGCCUUUCCAUAAAGUCACGCAUCCCCAAAAGCCUAACAAGGUCCGAAUUGUAUUCGAUGCCAGUGCCACAUGCCAAGGCAUUUCUCUUAAUAAUGUUUUGCUAAAGGGACCAGAUCUUUUAAACAGUUUGCUCGGAGUCAUCUUGAGAUUUAGAGAGAAAGAGUUUGCUGUUAUUGCAGACAUCCACAAGAUGUUUUACGCCUUUUUAGUUCGUCCUGAUCAUCGCAGGUACCUCAAGUUCUUGUGGUACGCGGACACUCAAAAUGUGUGUGACGUUCGGGUUUUUCAGAUGCGCGUACAUGUCUUUGGAAAUACCCCGUCUCCAGCCGUUGCAAACUACUGCCUCAAAAGAACCGCAGAUGAGUUUGGGCACCAGUUCAGUCCAGAAGUCGCCAGCAUAGUUAACCACAACUUCUACGUGGAUGAUCUUCUGGUUUCGUUUGACUCCGUUCAUCAAGCCAUCCAAAUAGUGCAUGAGCUGCAGGCUUUGUUAAAAGGUGCCAACAUUCGCCUGCACAAACUAUUAUCCAACAGCAGACAAAUCUUGCAAGCCUUUCCCUCCGAAGACUUAGCGGAAAGCAAUGUUCAUGAGUUAUUCAAAGGGUUAAGCUCCCAGUCUAGUUUAGGACUUCUCUGGGAUGUAAAAUCGGACCAUCUUUCGUUAAGAGCAUCUAAAUUUCAGUUUGUGAACACUAAGAGACAGAUGCUUUCCGCCAUCAAUGGGAUAUUUGAUCCCUUAGGCAUAGCUGCUCCUGUCCUGAUCACUGCUAAACUUCUGUUCAGACAGGUGAUCCAAGAAAAAAUAGGAUGGGAUCAAGAGCUGUCUCAAUCAAUAAAAACGGCUUGGUCAAACUGGACUGCCCAAGCUGAAGGCCUGGAAACCAUCGCAGUUCCCAGACAAUUUGCGCCCUGUAAGGUAAUGAUAGAACCCACCACAGAACUUCACAUCUUCUGUGACGCAUCUGAGCGAGCUGUAGCAGCUGUGGCAUACAUGCGACAAAAGGACAGAGAUUUUUGUCACGCAGGAUUCAUCAUGGCAAAGGCUAAAAUAGCUCCUAUGGGAACUUCAAUACCCCGGCUGGAAUUGUGUGCAGCAGUUCUUGCUGUCCAGCUCUGGCGCAUCAUCCAGCAAGAGAUAGGAGACUUGUUUCAAGAUGUCCAUUUCCACACGGACAGUACAGUUGUGCUUGGUUACAUCAACAACACAACCAAAAGAUUCAAGGUGUAUGUGGCUAAUAGAAUCAACAACAUUCUAUCCAGUUCUACGCCUAGCCAGUGGCACCACGUCGCCACCAGCAACAACCCAGCUGACAUCGCUUCCAGAGGAGCUUCAACUCAACGAGUGUUAAGUUCAAGUUGGCUGACAGGCCCCAGAUGCUUGACCGAAGUCAAUUUUCCAUCAGCCUUUUCUCCCACCGAUAAUACAGAAUUGCCCGAGUCCGUUCCAGAGGUGAAAGUUUGCAAGAUGACCACAGAAAUCAAGAUGGGCCAAAGAUCUUGCCUGGAACCACACCGUUUUGAAUGUUUUUCGGAGUGGCACAGUCUUCUUAGAGCAGUUGCUAGGCUUAUACAUCGUUUAGCUUGCAAAGAUAGUGAGCCUUUACAGGUCCAGGAUAUGAUAAAGGCUAAGAGCGUCAUAUUCAAGUCAGUACAGAGAUCUGCUUUCAAGCAGGAAAUAGCUAGGCUAGAGCAAGGGCUCAACAUCCCUAAUCAAAGUCUUCUAAAUGAGUUAAACCCAUUUCUAGACAAGGAGGGUAUUUUGAGAGUUGGAGGAAGGUUAGCCAAAGCUAAACUCAAGGCGUGCAUAAAAAACCCCAUCAUCAUACCCCCUAAUAGUCACACUGCAUUGCUGCUCGUUCGGCAUCACCAUGAAAGGAUCCAUCAUCAGGGUAGAACUCUAACUGAGGCAGCCCUUAGAAAUGAAGGUCUGUGGGUAGUUAAUGCCAAAAGGUUGGUCAACAGUUGUAUUUUCAAAUGUGUUAAAUGCAGGCGCCUUAGGCGAAACUGUCAAAGUCAGUUGAUGGCAGAACUACCUCAGGAUAGGACUUUGACAGACCCACCCUUUUCCCAUGUGGGAAUCGAUGUGUUUGGUCCUUGGGAGGUUGUCACUAGGAAAACCAGGGGUGGUGUUGUAAAUAACAAGAGGUGGGCAGUUUUGUUUACUUGUUUAGUAAUACGAGCUGUCCAUAUAGAAGUCAUAGAAGGGAUGGACACUUCAUCAUUUUUAAACGCAUUAAAAAGGUUCAUAGCCCUCAGAGGGCCAAUUAAGUCAAUUCGGUCGGACUGUGGCACCAAUUUUGUAGGUGCGACCAAAGAACUCAAUUGUGUGUCUAGGUUUGGGAGAGACCCAAAGGUUCAGAACUUUACGAAUACUGAACAAAUUAUGUGGACUUUCAAUGUUCCUCACGCCUCCCACAUGGGUGGUGUUUGGGAGAGGAUGAUUGGUAUUAGUCGCAAAAUCCUUAAUGCCAUGUUUUUGAGUCAUAGGUCAUUGACGCAUGAUGUUUUGGUGACACUUAUGGCGGAAGUUACCGCAAUUAUCAACAACCGGCCGCUGGUUCCCCUUACCAGUGACCCUGAGAACUUACAACCACUGACUCCUGCACUUAUUUUGACACAAAAGGUGCCAGGAUGGAAGGACGUCAUGUUGCCAGUUCCGGACGGAACUCACCGUGCCCUGUGGAAACAGGUGCAGUCCUUGGCCAACCACUUUUGGAAAAGGUGGAAAGCUGAGUACUUAAGCCAGCUUCAAGCUAGAAGAAUCUGGCAAAGCCCACAGGACAACAUUGAGGUUAACAACGUUGUGUUGUUAAAGGACAAAGACUUGCCCCGCCAUGCAUGGCCCAUGGGCAUUGUAUUAAAGACCUUUCCUUGCCCGGACGGUAAGGUCAGGAAAGUUCAAUUAAAGACUUGCAACAGAGGCAAAGUGUCCAUUUUGGACAGACCAAUUAGUGACCUCGUGUUGCUUAUUGGAGAUGUUUAAAGUUCUAGUGUUUGUAUUGUUGUGUAUACAAAGGUGUUUGUAUGUUUUUGAUUGGUAAAUUCCCACAUCCUGGGAAUUUAGCGGGGAGUGUUCCGUCCCCCAGGACGAUGGUUUGCCUUACCUAUUGGUCGUUUGUUUGUUUUCCCUCCUUUACAUUUUGUUUGAGCCUCUGGCUGCAAAGGCCUAGGAAAAGUGGCUUGGAAUCUGCAAGAGCUGGCUGCAGUUUUCUUUGCAGUGAUUGGUCAAAGAAUGCAACAUCUUAGGACCGCCCUUUUUACCAGGGUCUAGUCUCCAUUUUAGAGUUUCAUUCUGGCUAUAGUCUUCCAACGUGCUGGAGCUAUGCAAGGCUAACUGGGACAAAUCAUCCUCAAAACCAGGCCAAUCUAAGCCUAUCCAAAUUAGAUAAGUAUUGAAUUAUAUUGAUCUGGAAUAGGAAAUCUAGUUGGAGGAGCAGGGUUAUUCUGUCGCUUCUAGAACUAAUCUUUGCUGUAAAGAUAGGGAAGGAAAGAGUUUCUCCUUCUAAUAUAGGCAGCGUGAUUAGGGUAUAGUGGUUUUAUAAUCACCUUUGCUUUCUGGAACCAGGGAUAAUUCUGUACCUAAAACCUAUAGAAAUUUGUUUCAUUUUCUGCAACUUUAAGAUCUGUGCCAGGUUUACAACCUUGUAUGAAUAAACAUCCUUUUUUGAAGUUAUCCAGACUCAGUCGUUCAAUAUCUAUAGGACAGCUUAUAGGGAUUUGCAGUUCGCCCGGAUAAAGGACAGCACGUUUCAGUUUUAUGGUUUUUUAUUGUCCGGCGGACGGCACAACUAUGUCUUUGUGUCUGUAAUAAUAAUAAUAAUAAUAAUAAUCCAGCAUAUAGAUCUCAUUUGCUGUGUCAUACUAUGCCUUUGUGUCUAUAAUAAUAAUAAUAUUAAUAAUAAUAAUAAUCCAGCAUAUAGAUCUCGUUUCCUGUGUCAUACUAUGUCUUUGUGUCUAUAAUAAUAAUAAUAAUAAUAAUAAUAAUAAUAAUAAUAAUAAUCCAGCAUAUAGAUCUCGUUUGCUGUGUCAUACUAUGCCUUUAUGUCAAUAAUAAUAAUAAUAUAGUAUUAUUAUUAUAAUGGGCUGGUCCAUGCGUUUACGAAGAUUCGGAAGUGAAUGAAUAAAUAAACAACAACAAAAUAAUAAUUAUAAUAAUCUGUAUUAUGUUUUGCUCUAGGCCAUUGAAAGUCCAGAGAGGAGAAACAAAGGACUUGGGGGUUUGGAAGCCGGCACGGAUGGCUGUCUUUAUAGUUUUCCUCUCUUUAUGGAUCUGCCGAGAGGAAGGGGUGGGCUGAUGGAAGGAGUUCACCCCGAGCCGGACUUGAACUGCUGACUUUUUGAUCGGCAGGAUGUUCUGCAGCUAGUGGUUUAGGCCAUUGAGCCUUUCAAGAUCGGUAAAAAGGUGAUGAUACCGAGCAAGGCGAAUGAAUGGAGGCAUUUCUCCUCCAAAUAAGAAUCCUUAUGCUCCUGAUUGACGUUGGGAACUUGGAGACCUUGGGCAUUUCUGAUCCACAUCUAAGGG